GCUAAACAGAGUGAGUACGGUAGGGUGCUAAACAGAGUGAGUACGGUAGGGUGCUAAACAGAGUGAGUACGGUAGUGAACACAGUGAGUACGGUAGUGUACUAAACAGAGUGAGUACGGUAGUGUGCUAAACAGAGUGAGUACAGUAGGGUGCUAAACAGAGUGAGUACAGUAGGGUGCUAAACAGAGUGAGUACGGUAGUAAACAGAGUGAGUAGUGUAGUAAACAGAGUGAGUACGGUAGUAAACAGAGUGAGUAUGGUAAUGUGCUAAACAGAGUGAGUACGGUAGUGUGCUAAACAGAGUGAGUACGGUAGUGUAGUAAACAGAGUGAGUACGGUAGUGUGCUAAACAGAGUGAGUACGGUAGUAUAGUAAACAGAGUGAGUAA
RNAcentral lists this long non-coding RNA (388 nucleotides) under Salmo salar (Atlantic salmon). Its description in RNAcentral is "lncRNA (ENSSSAG00000115838.1)". The record is from RNAcentral. Lineage: Eukaryota; Metazoa; Chordata; Actinopteri; Salmoniformes; Salmonidae.